RNAcentral lists this unclassified non-coding RNA (391 nucleotides) under soil metagenome. RNAcentral describes it as "partial contains 5.8S ribosomal RNA, internal transcribed spacer 2, and large subunit ribosomal RNA". The stretch from base 1 to 122 matches the Rfam family "5.8S ribosomal RNA", at positions 35 to 154 of the family's 154-position model. The record is from RNAcentral.
GAUGAAGAACGCAGCGAAAUGCGAUACUUGGUGUGAAUUGCAGAAUCCCGUGAACCAUCGAGUCUUUGAACGCAAGUUGCGCCUGAAGCCAUUAGGCCGAGGGCACGCCUGCCUGGGCGUCACACGUCGUUGCCCCCCCAUCUACUCCUUCGGGAUUGCGGGGGGCGGAUGAUGGCCUCCCGUGCGCCUCGCCGCGCGGUUGGCAUAAAUGCCAAGUCCUCGGCGACGCACGCCACGACAAUCGGUGGUUGCGAAACCUCGGUUGCCCGUCGUGUGCGGUCGUCGCGCAUCGAGGGCUCGAAAAAAUUGCCGGGUUCCGGCUCGGCUUUCAACGCGACCCCAGGUCAGGCGGGGUUACCCGCUGAAUUUAAGCAUAUCAAUAAGCGGAGGA